Phragmites australis (common reed) is the source of this 551-nucleotide long non-coding RNA. RefSeq lists it as uncharacterized. The record is from RefSeq and is a predicted model, not a curated record. The transcript has 3 exons. Lineage: Eukaryota; Viridiplantae; Streptophyta; Magnoliopsida; Poales; Poaceae.
GUGGAGCGAAAGGCGGAUGCACCCCCGUACGUGCCUGAGUUCUUAGCCAAUGCACGAGGGCCAACGAAGAAGUGGAUCCUACAGUUCCAGCCGACGUACAUCCACCCACAAGCCAACGCAUACGCGGUCUCGAGACAUUUGGAGGCCUACCUCCUUUGGUUGUUUGGGUGGGUGAUGUUCACUAGUGGCCAAGGCCACCUGGUUACGAGGACCCUUGUGCCGUACGCCCGGUCGAUAGCGGACGCGCAUGCAGAGGAUGUACCGCAGUUCAGCUGGGCAUCAGCUGUUCUUGCUGCGACGUAUCGGGCGCUCUGCGACGCAUGCAUGAAGAAGGAGGCGCUAGCCACUUUUGCCGGGUGUCCACUUCUUCUUCAGCUAUGGUCGUACGAGCAUUUCGCCAUAGGUAGGCCGGUGGUGGAUCGCUCCCCGUACCCAGAGGAGUGGUACGGCGAGAUGGAAGAGGACGCGCCGACAAUGGCCUCGCUGUGGUGUCGUCGACGGCCACACUGGGCCCACGAGCAGCCUCGCAGCGCGUACGAGCAUUUUCGUAC